CCUCACGGCUUGCGCAGGCUCAUUGACCACCCCAAGCUCCGCCCCCGCCCCGCCUCCCCGCGGCGAUCAGCGCAGGCGCACUUGCAGACGGUGGGAGCGCUCGGCUCUCCCGGUUGGCUGCUCUGUUGCUGCCUGCCACCGCAUCCUUUGCGACCUUUGGUGCCUUCUUUGAGCUCCAAGGCUAAUCUCAUAGAUAAGUUUCCGAAGGUCUUGGUGAAUCAUUCCCGAAAGAAUGAAUGUCCAAUAGCCCAUCUGACUUAUGGGCUUAUUUUCAUUAUUUGGAAAGGACCAAAUAAUGCAAGGACCAGUUGAGGAAACAGAGGUUAAGAAGACUGCACAGAUUGAAGCAAAAUUCAAAUCCACAUCUAUCUGAUUCUAGAAUAGUCUCCAUUUUUUCCCCUCCUGCUCACUUCAGAACAGACUCUAAUAUAUUUCUGUUCACAAUGCACCAGUCCACUUUUACUGAGGUCCCCCAAUACCUCAAAGCUAAUUCCUAUAGACAUUUAUCAGUCUUUAUCUCAACUGACUUUUCAAUAGAAUUUGGCAUUUCCUUAUUAAACCUUCUUACAACAGUCUCACUCUUGAUUUCCUGGGACCAUAACUGCUGACUUUUGUCCUAUCUUCCUGAUCCUCCCCUCUUCUGCAGCUUAUUCCUCCUAUCAGCCUUUCACUGUGUCCUGAGACUUGCCCAGGGCCACCUCUCUUUCUUACCAUACCCUCAGUUCUAAUAAUCAGAAAUAGAUAAGAUUUACAAAUUUCAGGUGUUAAAUAAGUACAUUUAAUCCUUAUAUUUAUUUUAUAUAAUUUAUAUUUGACAAGACAGCAUAUUUUGUUUGAAAGAACAUGGCCUUUAGACUGUAAUCUGGAUACAAAUCCUGGCCUUUUCCACUUACUGUCAAAAUGCCCUGAUCUCUUCUUCUAUAAAAUAGGAAGUUUCUAAAA
This is a long non-coding RNA of Bubalus bubalis (water buffalo), 942 nucleotides long. RefSeq lists it as uncharacterized. The transcript has 3 exons. Lineage: Eukaryota; Metazoa; Chordata; Mammalia; Artiodactyla; Bovidae. The record is from RefSeq and is a predicted model, not a curated record.